AACGAACGCUGGCGGCAGGCCUAACACAUGCAAGUCGAACGCCGUAGCAAUACGGAGUGGCAGACGGGUGAGUAACGCGUGGGAACAUACCCCUCGGUUCGGAAUAACUCAGGGAAACUUGAGCUAAUACCGGAUACGUCCGAGGUUUUGAUCGACCUUGGAGAAAGAUUUAUCGCCGAAGGAUUGGCCCGCGUCUGAUUAGCUUGUUGGUGAGGUAAUGGCUCACCAAGGCGACGAUCAGUAGCUGGUCUGAGAGGAUGAUCAGCCACAUUGGGACUGAGACACGGCCCAAACUCCUACGGGAGGCAGCAGUGGGGAAUAUUGGACAAUGGGGGCAACCCUGAUCCAGCCAUGCCGCGUGAGGGAAGAAGGCC
Molecule: ribosomal RNA, 374 nt
Filed under: uncultured bacterium
Lineage: Bacteria
Description: bacterial SSU rRNA
Rfam family: Bacterial small subunit ribosomal RNA
Source: RNAcentral